GAGACAAGCAUAUGACUACUGGCAGGAUCAACCAGGUAGCAUUCCUUCGCGACGCCGACGCUCGCAUGAGACCCGGCAGGCCGUACGGCCGCGGGCUCAAGACGGGCACGACAGUCGUUCGUGUCGUAAGACAAAUGCGUUGCUUGGGCAAACGGAGCUAAUAAAUAGACCCCGCACCCGCACAUAACAUUCUGCAUCCGAGAGCACGGGCAAAGCACCUCAUGGGCCGAGGCAGCGACGCAGCUGGGCGAAGCAUGCCGGGAACACGAGGCUUGCCUGAUGUCCACCCCAAAACCCGUGAGGGCAGGGGGCGGAAAGGGACAAACGAAACCAUCGGAUUCCUUUCGAUAGGUAAGCAACACAGGAUACCGAA
This 373-nucleotide unclassified non-coding RNA is filed under the name Bursera copallifera. RNAcentral describes it as "partial external transcribed spacer". Lineage: Eukaryota; Viridiplantae; Streptophyta; Magnoliopsida; Sapindales; Burseraceae. The record is from RNAcentral.